GGAGAAAAGCAGGGGAUCGUAAGACCUUGCGCUUUUGGAGUGGCCGAUGCCUGAUUAGCUAGUUGGUGGGGUAAGAGCCUACCAAGGCGACGAUCAGUAGUUGGUCUGAGAGGACGACCAGCCACACUGGGACUGAGACACGGCCCAGACCCCUACGGGAGGCAGCAGUGGGGAAUUUUGGACAAUGGGCGAAAGCCUGAUCCAGCAAUGCCGCGUGAGUGAAGAAGGCCUUCGGGUUGUAAAGCUCUUUCAGUCGAGAAGAAAAGGUUGCGACUAAUAAUCGCAACUUAUGACGGUAUCGACAGAAGAGGCACCGGCUAACUACGUGCCAGCAGCCGCGGUAAUACGUAGGGUGCGAGCGUUAAUCGGAAUUACUGGGCGUAAAGGGUGCGCAUGCGGCUCCGUAAGUCAGAUGUGAAAUCCCCGGGCUUAACCUGGGAAUUGCGUUUGAAACUACAAAGCUAGA
This 466-nucleotide ribosomal RNA is filed under the name uncultured ammonia-oxidizing beta proteobacterium. Its description in RNAcentral is "bacterial SSU rRNA". It matches the Rfam family "Bacterial small subunit ribosomal RNA", at positions 198 to 645 of the family's 1533-position model. The record is from RNAcentral. Lineage: Bacteria; Pseudomonadati; Pseudomonadota; Betaproteobacteria.